RNAcentral lists this ribosomal RNA (290 nucleotides) under uncultured haloarchaeon. Its description in RNAcentral is "partial 16S ribosomal RNA". It matches the Rfam family "Archaeal small subunit ribosomal RNA", at positions 1016 to 1265 of the family's 1478-position model. Lineage: Archaea; Methanobacteriati; Methanobacteriota; Halobacteria; Halobacteriales; Halobacteriaceae. The record is from RNAcentral.
GUCACUGAUUCUUUCACAAAGUAAAAACCGUCCCUGCUCCUUGCACAUGGGGUUUAGUCAGGCAACGAGCGAGACCCGCACCUUUAGUUGCCAGCAGCACCCAUCGGGUGGCUGGGUACACUAGGGGGACUGCCGCUGCCAAAGCGGAGGAAGGAACGGGCAACGGUAGGUCAGUAUGCCCCGAAUGAGCUGGGCUACACGCGGGCUACAAUGGCCGGGACAAUGGGAUGCCACCUCGAAAGAGGGCGCUAAUCUCCUAAACCCGGUCGUAGUUCAGAUUGAGGGCGGAA